Molecule: ribosomal RNA, 1359 nt
Filed under: Salmonella enterica
Lineage: Bacteria; Pseudomonadati; Pseudomonadota; Gammaproteobacteria; Enterobacterales; Enterobacteriaceae
Also listed under: 1 other name
Description: partial 23S ribosomal RNA
Rfam family: Bacterial large subunit ribosomal RNA
Source: RNAcentral
AAAUCCGGUUCACUUUAACACUGAGGCGUGACGACGAGGCACUACGGUGCUGAAGCAACAAAUGCCCUGCUUCCAGGAAAAGCCUCUAAGCAUCAGGUAACAUCAAAUCGUACCCCAAACCGACACAGGUGGUCAGGUAGAGAAUACCAAGGCGCUUGAGAGAACUCGGGUGAAGGAACUAGGCAAAAUGGUGCCGUAACUUCGGGAGAAGGCACGCUGACACGUAGGUGAAGUGAUUUACUCAUGGAGCUGAAGUCAGUCGAAGAUACCAGCUGGCUGCAACUGUUUAUUAAAAACACAGCACUGUGCAAACACGAAAGUGGACGUAUACGGUGUGACGCCUGCCCGGUGCCGGAAGGUUAAUUGAUGGGGUCAGCGCAAGCGAAGCUCCUGAUCGAAGCCCCGGUAAACGGCGGCCGUAACUAUAACGGUCCUAAGGUAGCGAAAUUCCUUGUCGGGUAAGUUCCGACCUGCACGAAUGGCGUAAUGAUGGCCAGGCUGUCUCCACCCGAGACUCAGUGAAAUUGAACUCGCUGUGAAGAUGCAGUGUACCCGCGGCAAGACGGAAAGACCCCGUGAACCUUUACUAUAGCUUGACACUGAACAUUGAGCCUUGAUGUGUAGGAUAGGUGGGAGGCUUUGAAGUGUGGACGCCAGUCUGCAUGGAGCCGACCUUGAAAUACCACCCUUUAAUGUUUGAUGUUCUAACGUGGACCCGUUACCCGGGUUGCGGACAGUGUCUGGUGGGUAGUUUGACUGGGGCGGUCUCCUCCUAAAGAGUAACGGAGGAGCACGAAGGUUGGCUAAUCCUGGUCGGACAUCAGGAGGUUAGUGCAAUGGCAUAAGCCAGCUUGACUGCGAGCGUGACGGCGCGAGCAGGUGCGAAAGCAGGUCAUAGUGAUCCGGUGGUUCUGAAUGGAAGGGCCAUCGCUCAACGGAUAAAAGGUACUCCGGGGAUAACAGGCUGAUACCGCCCAAGAGUUCAUAUCGACGGCGGUGUUUGGCACCUCGAUGUCGGCUCAUCACAUCCUGGGGCUGAAGUAGGUCCCAAGGGUAUGGCUGUUCGCCAUUUAAAGUGGUACGCGAGCUGGGUUUAGAACGUCGUGAGACAGUUCGGUCCCUAUCUGCCGUGGGCGCUGGAGAACUGAGGGGGGCUGCUCCUAGUACGAGAGGACCGGAGUGGACGCAUCACUGGUGUUCGGGUUGUCAUGCCAAUGGCACUGCCCGGUAGCUAAAUGCGGAAGAGAUAAGUGCUGAAAGCAUCUAAGCACGAAACUUGCCCCGAGAUGAGUUCUCCCUGAGACUUAAAGUCUCCUGAAGGAACGUUGAAGACGACGACGUUGAUAGGCCGGGUGUGUA